RNAcentral lists this transfer-messenger RNA (345 nucleotides) under Pirellulales bacterium. RNAcentral's name for it is "partial transfer-messenger RNA". It matches the Rfam family "transfer-messenger RNA". From Rfam's summary of the family: Bacterial tmRNA, also known as 10Sa RNA or SsrA, is named for its dual tRNA and mRNA-like properties. Lineage: Bacteria; Pseudomonadati; Planctomycetota; Planctomycetia; Pirellulales. The record is from RNAcentral.
CCGGGCAGCUUGAAGUGUAAGUGGCGUGCCGUGGUUGGUCAGCAGGCCACGUUAAAAGCCGACCAUAAACUUAAUUGCCAAGCCUAGCUUUGCAAUGGCUGCCUAGAGAUAGACAGUCCCGGCCCAGGGCUUUUGUCGGAGAGGCCCGAAGGCUGGUCACCUAAUUCCGAAUCGUCUCGGGUCGACGCCGGCCACGCCCGAGAUUAAACAAGCCGCCGACUAGCCCGCGCGGCACCCCGUCGGUUGGGGAUCGCGAGGGCGAAGACGCAAAUCAUCCGACUACGCACGUAGAAGCUUGCAUGGAAAUGUCGCGGGACGCGGGUUCGAUCCCCGCCGCCUCCACUG